Camellia sinensis is the source of this 6590-nucleotide non-coding RNA. Lineage: Eukaryota; Viridiplantae; Streptophyta; Magnoliopsida; Ericales; Theaceae. The record is from RefSeq and is a predicted model, not a curated record.
UUUGACGUCUAGAUGAGCCAAAAAGUUGAUUUGUAUUUUAAUAUUUGUAUAUUAAUUUUUUUAUUAUUUUUUUUGAUGGAUAGUGAUAACUUUUUUGGUAACUUUUUGGUUUUUUUUUUAAAGUUCCCAAACCAGGCCUAUAAUUUUGGAGUUUUUAUUAGUAGCAUGUGUUUUAACUAGGUCAUGGGUUCAAUUUUCCCUUGGUGCUUUUCAAUGGGUGGAGAUGCUAAUGUCUAUAGGUGCUAAUGUAACAAUUAACAACUAACUUUCGCCAAUCAAAAAAAAAAAAAAAAAGCAUGUGUUUUAAAGUCACUUCUGGUGCAACAAAAUUGUUUUAUUACGCAAGUUUUAGAAGCUCAUUACCAAACUUGAUUGGUCUGGAAUGAAAACAUCAUUUUGAGGCCAAAGUCGUGCGUUCAAAACACGAUUGAUAUUAUGUUUUAAUAGUUGUGUUUUGAAACACGAUUGAUAUUAUGUUUUAAUAGUUGUGUUUUGAAAUCAUGGCUUUGAGCUCAAAGUUGUGUUCUUUCAUUCCAUGUGGUGAAAAAAUCAAAAGUUUUAGCCUUAUGUAAUAAAGUUAUCCGACAAUGUGAUUUUGUAUCUUGUGUAACGGGUACAUCAUGAUGGUCUAUUUACAUAAUAGAAAUAUAUCAACGUGGUGUGUCUGUUACACAAGAUUUUACCUCCAAUAGUGGGAUUGUUGCAUAUACUAGUAUAUUGUUAUUUCAUUGAAAAGUUGCUUCUAUAGCAAUCAUUCAAUAUUGACACUGGGCAGGAACUUUUUUGUUUGGUGUUGGCAUAUAUUAUUGACAUGUCAAAAAUGUCAAUGCUUUAGUUGUCUUAUUAAUCGACAUGAUAUUUGAUACGGUCAUUUGCAUAACAAAAUAUUGUAUUUAAAAUCAAGGAAUAACUAUUAUUUCGAAGUAUAGCGGUUAAGGCCAAGUGUCGAUUCUUGGGGACUAAUCGAAUUGUUUUAUUUCAGAAAUAAUAAUUAAAGUGAUUGGUUUUGAAAAUAAUAAACAAUUAAAAAAAAGAAAAGAGAGGCAUGCCUCCCAUGUCUUGAGAGAAGGUGUGGGAGGCAUGGUUAUCUUCUUUUUUUUUUUUUAAAAUUUAUUUUAUAAUAUAUAUAAUAUAAUAUAUAAAAUAUCUAAAACGUAUUAUUUACACUAAAUUUAUAUAUAAACACCUAAAAUAUAUACAAACACACAAAAUUAUAAAAUAAUACAAAUUAAUGGACUAAUAAAAUGUAUGUUAGUGGGCCAAAUGUGUAAUAUUUAGGCUCCGAUCAAUAUUACAUUCUCAUGUCAAAUAUUAGCGUAGCAAAUAGAAUUAUGUUCAAAUUUUUAAGAGAAAAGUUGUGUGUGUGUCUUGGUCUCCUGCUAGUAUUUGUCCUUGGAUUGUAAAUUGGUGCUCUAGCAAGUUGUUCUGAGAAUUGAGUUCUUGUACAGUUAAGUGAAAGGAAAAUUGAACGGGAAAAAGUAAUGUAUUUUGUACUUCUAUUUCAUAUAUUAAUAUUGUAUUAUGCUUUUUCUCAAACAACAAUAAAUGAAUAAAAGUGAAAUGGAAAGAGAAUAUAUUUGGUUUUUUGUUUUUGUUUCUAAAUGUGGUCUUCUUUAAUUUGGGGUUGGAAUUUGUGUAUUGAAUAGUUCUUGCUAUGUUCUACUGAAGGCUCUUACAAGUUCUGUUUCAUAGUUUUGUUGAUCUCUAUCUUCACCAUGAAGAGGUCAUGGAAAUAUGGAUAGACAACUUCAGAGAAUCUGGUUUCAUGUUGGUGAUCAAAAAAAGAAUUUAGUUUCUAGUUUUGCUAUUACUCCAGCAAAAUGGUUUGCCACUAGCAUUCUUUCACAUUGAUGAGAUUUUACAAUGGAUUAUGGCUUUUAGUGGUUUAAAGAGGUUAUUUAAAGGGAAUUGCUAUUGCUAAAUAAUGUAUAUUGGUUUACUCAGAUUGUAUAUUGGUGAUCAGUCAAGUUCUUGUCUAGUUAAGCGAAAUGGAAAAAGAUUUGUGCAAUAUGUGGUUGUUUUUGUUUUUGUUUUUCAAUGUGGUUUUCUUUAGUUUGGGUGAAAUUUGCGUAUUGAAAGUGUUUCAUAUGUUCUAUUGAACCAUGUUAUGAGUUCUACACUGUCAACUUAUUAAAUAUUUUUGUUUCUCCAAAUAACCAUGGUUGAUUUAUGUAGAUGAUGCCACUAGUUUCGCAGUUUUCUUGAGUUAGUCUCUUUGUCAUGAAGAGACAUCUUUGGAGAAUUUGGUUUCAAGUUUUCGCUAUUACUUAAGCAAAAUGGUUUGCUAUUAUCAUUCUUUCAUAUUGAUGAGAUUUGAUAAUGGAUGGCUUCAUUUCUCUCCAUGGUAGACUAAAGCAAGAUAGGCUAUUAGAUUUGAAUAAUGGCAGCAAUUUCAAAAUUGUAUGCAUUAUUGUGCUUCUCUAUUGAUGAUGAUGGUUGCUGUUGAGUAAUUCUUAUUUUUGAGCUUUACAGAAGAUAAGGUAGAGAUAAGGUGGCCUGUUGGUCAUGUUGUUUCUUUCCUACCAAUGCAGCUGGAUGGCGAGGCUUUGUGAUUAAUUUUAUUUCUUUUCUAGCAGAGUUGGUGCUUGUCCUGUUGAAUCAAUUGCUUGUAAUUUUAGCAGAGAAGGAAAGAGGGUAUGUUUUGUGAAUGCUGGUGUCAUGCAAUUUGUAGAACCGGUCAUUGGUGUUUGAUAUUGCAGCUGUUAAAUAUUUCUGCAAACAAAUUCUGCAAACAAAUUCUGCAUUGCUGUGAUACAAUUUUGUAGAGUAUUUUGAUUGCAUGUCAUACAAAUCCAGACUUUUGAGCUCACAAUGAAAUCCUUGAGUAAGGCUUAUUACAUUGUUUUUACUAGUAGGGAUUAUAAUUGUAGAAAGAGUGAUUGCACAAUUGAAUGGAAGCUAGCUUGCUCGUUUAAAUAUAAGCUAGCUUGUUCGUUGAAAAUAUACCAGUAGGGAUCAUAAUUAGGGGUGAUCGUGGUUCGGUUGCGGCUGGGGAACCUUUGAUCCGCCAUUCGUCUGCCAAAUUGGCAGAUGUGGAUUGAGCGGAUUGGCGGGCGAAUGCGAAUCAGUUUGACGGUUUAAACUUUUACAAAUUUUGAACAUAAUACAACAAUUUGUUAACAUUUUUUUUAGAUAACAUUCCAACAUAACAUAAUCAAAAGAUUAUCAAGUAAAUUGUCAAAUACUAAUAAUAAAUACAUUAAGAAAACUAAACAUUAUUAAAACUAUUUUAUUUGAUUUUAAAAAAAAAAUGACAAAAUUAAGCCUUAUAUUUUUUACACUAAUAAUACCAAAUAUCAACCCUUGCCUUUUGAUAAAAGGAUUUCGAAAUUGAAAACAUAACAGAAUAUUUAAACUCUUUCUCAAUCAAAAACACAAACACAAACAGAAUAUUUAAAAAAAUUGAAAACACAAAGUCUUACAAAUUGCUAGGGGUGCUUCCGGUUUGAGAGUUCGGUUGCAGUCAAAGGAAUCUUAAAUCCGUCAUCCGUCUAAAACUAGGCGGAUUGAAAAAAAAUUAAUCCGCAAACAUCCUCUCGUUAUCAUACAUUCGUUCAAAAUGCGGCGAAUCGGUUUGGUCGGUUUGGAUUGUUUGGAAUAUCCUCUGAGCACCCCUGAUUAUACUUAUCAGUUGCAUUGAGGUCUCCUUUGGUACUCAAGUGUAAGCUAGUUUGUUCGUCUAAAAUAAGCUACAAAUAAGCGAAGCAAAGCUUUUUAACAGAUUUAGUUGAUAAGGAGGGUGGUUUGGGCAAUGAUAUGAUUGAACGUAAUAGAUGCUCAAAAUCCGUUUCUGUUACUAAUAUGGUAACGUGGGUUGUAGAUAGUUUAAUUCAUAAAAUUGUGGUUGAUGGCUCAUUAUAUAACAAUCAGGUGAUAACAAAUGCUGCAGGUUUUUUUGCUUUGUCAUCUACUAUUGUGGAAGCAAAAUCAUGUUUUGAAGUUGUUCUAUGGUGUGUCGACGUUCACUCAGUGAAGGUUAUUAAUAUCUUCACGGAGUCUCUCUCUCUCUCUCUCUAUAUAUAUAUAUAUAUAGAUAUAUAAAUAUGUAUGUCUGUGUUCAUGUAUAUGCAUGUAUUUCAGCUUUAUUAAUUUGUAAUUCUACUUAAUUUGUCAAAUAUGUGCUUUGGAAAACAGAGAUUGCGAUGAGGAUAAAAAGCUCCCUCUUCUGAAAUCUAAAGUUGAGGACGAAUUGCUGGCAGAAUCGAGCUACUACUUUUUAAGCCACCCCUGAGGUAAUGAGAAUUUUACAAUUAUUUUCCGAGAGAAUGUGAAAUUGACUCUGAAGAAGGCUUUGACAAUAUGGUAGUUGAAGGUAUACAAAAUAAAAUUUGUCUCUGAUUUCUUCCAGAAACUUUGAAGCUUUCAAAUGGAAAUUCAGUUUUGAUUGUGAUUUGGUUUCUCCUCGUAAGGGCUUCUGUCAAAUUUUUGAUACAGGUUCAUAUGGUGAAGGCCAGUUUUACAGCAGAUUUUGGAAUAGUUUCAGGCACAUUCUUGAAGUUGAAUCGUUAAAAUUUGAACAGAUUCGUGAUUGUUUGAACUGCGUCUGUCUAUAACCCCACUCAUUCUAAGUUGUAGGAGAUAGAAAUUAGUAUUGAAUUACAAUCUAAAUUAGAGUCAUAGUAGCUUUGAAUUUUUCGAUUUUUUGCUCUGUUUUUCUUCAUCCUCAUUUAGCUUUCUGCAUUAGAGAACACAAGUUUGGCUUGCCAUAUCUUGGAUCGUUCUGCUACGGUCUUGGAUUCUAGUUGUUGUAUCGAGGGAGGUUGGCGUUGACAACCUGAGCAUCUCGGUGGAGGGUGAAUGAAACCUUAAGGAAAUUGUGUCCCAACACAAGUCUCGACUAAUUUUGGUAUUGUAUCGUUAUGUAUUACAAUUUCUAGUUUAAUUUCUAGUAUAAUCUUAUUGCAUAUUUGUUUGUUUAAAGUAUUAUUGUUGUGUUUAUUGCUUUAUUUCUCUGAAAUAAUUUCAUUGUUUUCCCUUUUACUCUGGUUUGAUUAUAAAUCAAACCCAAAAUCAUUUUUGUGCUCACUUUGUAAGUGAAUUAAUUACAUCAUUUGUAAUAACUUUCCAACAGUUUUAAGGUUUAAAAUUUUGGUUGUGUUGAAUUUGUUUUUGUUACGAUCGAGUGUUUUAUUCUGUGUGGAUGUGGUUUUAUAGAAUUUUUCAUUAAAUUGCAAAAUAGCUAUUAUUUGUGGUUUAAGAAUGAUAACUGAAAAUGAGAGUGCUGAGACUUAUCCUACCCUGUUCCUAUCUCGGGAAUUGUGAUGCCAACAGUAACUCUAUCAGUAUCGAUCAAUCAUGGGAAAAAACGAGAAAAGUUUAUUGGAAUUGAUUUUAAAUGAUGGCAACAAAAAAUGUUAUUUUAUCUUACCACUUUAAAUUUGGCUCGAUAUGCCCAUGAAAUUGUACUAGUGCUGAGCGAGGGAGAAAUUGACCGGCAAAUUGUGGCUGCAGUGGAAGCCUGGAAGCAUGGGGACUUUUUGUGUUGGAAUUAUAUUCUCAAUAGUCUUGCAAACACACUUUGUAAUGUGUAUUACGUGAAGGGAAUUGCUAGAGAAUUGUGGGAAUCUUUAGAACUACAAUAUAAGACAUAAGAUGCUAGCGCAAAGAAAUUUGUUGGAUUAUAUGAUGGUUGAUUCCAAGACUAUUAUUAGUCAAGGGCAAGACUUUUAGUUAAUUCUUCAUGAGAUUCAUGCUGAAGGAAUGACUCUUAGUGAAUCCUUUCAAGUUGUGGCAAUUAUUGAAAAGUUGCCACAAACAUGGAAGGAAUUUACGAAUUAUUUGAAGCAUGGAUGAAACUGGAGGAGUUGAUUGUGCGGAGUUGAUUGUGUGGCUUCGUAUAGAGGAGGAUAAACGUGGUUUUGACAAAAAGAUAGGCAGUCAUAUGAUUCGAGCCAAAGUGAAUGUUGUGGAACAAGGACGAUGCUCUAAAUUCAACAACAGAAAGAGGAAGUAUGAUGGUGAGAGUCCCAAGUAGGGCUUCCAAGAGUUGAACAACAAGAGGUACAAAGGCAAGUGUUUUGUGUGCGGUAGAGAUGGACAGUGAGCGAUGAAUUCCCAUCAACGCAAGGAUAACGGAGAUUCUAGCAAGAGACCUGCACAAGCACAUGUGACCAAAGUUAAAAACAUUUCAAAUGGGUUGGCAGACAUUAGUCUCUUUGCAGUGGUGUUAGAGGCAAAUUUGAUAGACAAUACCAAGGAAUGGUGGGUGGACAUGGGGCUACUUGUCAUAUUUGCGUCGACAAAAAGAUAUUUACGACCCAUAAUUUGGUGGAAAAUGGAGAACAACUCUUUAUUGGAAAUUCUUCAACCUCUAAAGUCGAGGGAUAAGGUAAUGUUGUGUUGAAGAUGACUUCGGGAAAUGAACUCACUCUCAACAAUGUACUCCGUUUUCUAGAUAUUCAAAAGAAUCUAAUUUUCGGGUCAUUGUUGAUUAAGAAUAGGUUUAAAUUAGUCUUUGAAUCUGAGAAGGUUGUUCUUUCCAAAAACGGGAUGUAUAUGGGAAAGGACUAUAUGUAUGAUGGGCUAUUAAGCUCAAUGUAUUAACUGUUGUACCCAAUAUUAUGAAUAAUAAUAAGAAUACUUUUUGUUUA